This 1417-nucleotide long non-coding RNA is filed under the name Homo sapiens (human). RNAcentral's name for it is "HSALNT0101496". Lineage: Eukaryota; Metazoa; Chordata; Mammalia; Primates; Hominidae. The record is from RNAcentral.
UGAUAUUUUUGGCAGAAAACCACCUUCUGGGUAAUAGGUCUGGUAUCUGGAGGAUUCCUGUUUCUGCUGUCGUUCGCUGACCUCACCUCUCUUCUGUGACUAAGUCUGUAUUCACCGCUGAAGUGCAUGCUUCUUGGGGAGAAAUUGUGGGUACUUCCGGUUCCCCCUGUGACUUUGUGACUUAAGCAGCAGAAGCAUUUCAUACCAUGGGUACAUGCUCCUUCCCAUUACCUCCCUACUGACAGGUGCUGUCAGAGUUAGAAAGUUCUGGAAGCUCCUCAAAACAUAGACUUAAAAUAAUAAUUAUAAUUAAUAAUAGCAAUUAACUUCCAUCACAGGUUGAGUCACCUAUAAGAGAUUGCAUGGUUAAGUUUCUUUUAAAGUCACCUCUUAACAUUUCCUUACUUACUCAGCCUCACUCAUCUUAAAAGAUUGUUAGCUUGAAUCACAGUUGUUGUUUAAAGAGGACGGAUGUUGGGGAGAGGAAUGGUUACUGAUUCCCAGAUUUUUUAAAAAUGCAAUGCAAGGAGAAUUCUGAGGAGGGAAGCACAAUGUCUGGAUUCACUAUUUUCCCCUCUCCGGGUGGUGGCUUGAUGAUGAGAAGAUACAACCCUGUCAUCAUCACUCUCUUCUUAGGACUUGCAGCAGAAAGCACUCUUCUCAUUGUAAGCAAGCUUCAUGAAAAUUAGCCUGGAAGAAAGAAGACUGGCAAGAUAUCGGCCAUACUGUUGAAAUUGAACCCUGGGAAACAAAGAUAUGUACAUACCAAAGUCAAACUUUUACUAGGAAGGUUUGGAUUGUCAAGGCUCAGGUGUGAUAUUUCAGUCUUGGUCCUAUUUACUUAGGAUGCAAUUCAGAAGGUUAAAGUUGGCCCUGGGAGAUCCAAUAAAAAAUAUACCUGAGUCCAAAUUAAUCUAGAUCUACAAUUAUUACUUUUAAUUCAUUACUAUUAUGGAUAUAUAUAUAUGUUAGGAAUUAGCAGCAGAGUGAAUCAGUAUGAUAUUUUAAGGAUUAUGCUUUUAUGCUUUUAAAUUUUAGAUAAUACAUUUCCUAAUAUUAAUUUUAAAACACUCUCUUUGCCAUGCUGUUAAGAAUUCUACUUUUUUUUUUUUCAUUUUUAUCUUCCUAACUUCUUAUUGUGACAUUGUUGGCCAGAUCCUAAAUAAUUUUAGAUACAAGCAAAAGUUUCCUUGUAUGAGUGAAUAGAAUGCUAAGUCUCUUUGGAAGUAUAUUUAUACAUUUUAUUGUAAAGUUUAAUUUUGAUUGUGCAUUUGUGUUUGUGCUUUAGAUUUCAGGAUUAUGGUAGCUUUCCUACCCAAGUAUUGGCUGAAACAGCCAAUACCCUUCUUUAAAAAAUUUCUGUAAACAGGUUUCUACACAUUGCUAACAUGAAUAAACAACUUUCCUUCUACCUCCA